This 321-nucleotide ribosomal RNA is filed under the name Triticum aestivum (bread wheat). RNAcentral describes it as "partial small subunit ribosomal RNA". Lineage: Eukaryota; Viridiplantae; Streptophyta; Magnoliopsida; Poales; Poaceae. The record is from RNAcentral.
AUGAGCAGGUAUCGACUUACCAUCAAUUCCCCAGCCAAUAUAGAGGGGUGUGACGCCAAUGGCAUCACGUGCAGCAAUGAAGCUGUUGUCGCGUGUAUCGAGCAAGACGAAGGAGAAGACACCAUCCAGCAUGUCGAUGAAGUUCUCCCCAUGCUCCUCGUACUAUACAAUGUGACUGACCAGGUGUGCGAUGACCUCGCAGUCGCUGCCUGUCCUGAACGUGUGGGAGGAGAGCUGCGCCCGGAGCUGUUCAUGGUUGUAGAUCUCUCCAUUCACCUGCAAGGAGUACUUGUUUUAACAGAAAGAACCAAGCUACAAUAG